This 431-nucleotide ribosomal RNA is filed under the name uncultured bacterium. RNAcentral's name for it is "partial 16S ribosomal RNA". It matches the Rfam family "Bacterial small subunit ribosomal RNA", at positions 29 to 507 of the family's 1533-position model. The record is from RNAcentral.
AACGAACGCUGGCGGCAGGCCUAACACAUGCAAGUCGAGCGCCCUUUCGGGGGAGCGGCGGACGGGUGAGUAACGCGUGGGAAUAUGCCCUUCUCUACGGAAUAGCCUCGGGAAACUGAGAGUAAUACCGUAUACGCCCUGUGGGGGAAAGAUUUAUCGGGGAAGGAUUAGCCCGCGUUGGAUUGGGUAGUUGGUGGGGUAAUGGCCUACCAAGCCGACGAUCCAUAGCUGGUUUGAGAGGAUGAUCAGCCACACUGGGACUGAGACACGGCCCAGACUCCUACGGGAGGCAGCAGUGGGGAAUCUUAGACAAUGGGGGCAACCCUGAUCUAGCCAUGCCGCGUGAGUGAUGAAGGCCUUAGGGUUGUAAAGCUCUUUCAGCUGGGAAGAUAAUGACGGUACCAGCAGAAGAAGCCCCGGCUAACUCCGUG